Molecule: ribosomal RNA, 417 nt
Filed under: Triticum aestivum (bread wheat)
Lineage: Eukaryota; Viridiplantae; Streptophyta; Magnoliopsida; Poales; Poaceae
Description: partial small subunit ribosomal RNA
Source: RNAcentral
AUGAAGGGUUGGGGGGCUAACCUAGGCCGGGACCUAAGAGAGCGCAAGAAGUCCAUCUUGACCGCCAUUCAAGCUCUGGAUGCGCGUGCGGACUCGACUGGGCUCUCCCCGGACGAGUGGCUGCUUCGCUACGACCUGGAGGAUCAACUUUCCUUCAUCUACACAGAUGAGGAGGCUUACUGGCGCGUGAGGGGAACUCAGAGAUGGGUGCUUCAGGGCGACGCCAACACCGCCUACUUCCAGGCGAUUGCGAACGGCCGGCGCCGCCGCAACUCCAUCCACUGCCUGUGGGAUGGAGGCACACAGCUAGUGCGGCCUGAGGCCAUCCGCCUCCAUGUGGAUGGCUUCUAUAGGGAUCUUUUUACCCCCCCCGUGGUGGGGUGUGCCUCGCCCCCGACAUUUGGUCGGGCGCGUUAG